RNAcentral lists this unclassified non-coding RNA (236 nucleotides) under Hevea brasiliensis (rubber tree). Lineage: Eukaryota; Viridiplantae; Streptophyta; Magnoliopsida; Malpighiales; Euphorbiaceae. The record is from RNAcentral.
GAAAUUUUACUAAAUAAUUGUUCUCAUAUUAGUUGAAUUCAUUCAAAAAGUGAAAUUUAAGGAGCAAAAGGGAAGGGAUGCAUCUUUUUUCAGAUAAUUCAAUAUUUGAUCCUUCAAAUUACUAAUGCAAAUUAAAUUUUGAAUCACAACAGCAUAAAUGGCUAACACAUUUAGCAUAAAGAAUGUAUUAAGAAUUUAAAACAUCAAACAUACUUCUUCACGAACAGGAGUCAGUC